GAUGAACGCUAGCGGCAGGCUUAAUACAUGCAAGUCGUGGGGCAGCAGGACUGUAGCAAUACAGUUGCUGGCGACCGGCAAACGGGUGCGGCACACGUACGCAACUUACCCUGAACUGGGGGAUAGCCCGGGGAAACCCGGAUUAAUACCCCGUAAUAUAAUGGAGUGGCAUCACUUUAUUAUUAAAGCUCCUGCGGUUCGUGAUGGGCGUGCGGCUGAUUAGUUAGUUGGUUGAGGGAACAGCGCACCAAGCCUACGACCAUGAACUGGUGUGAUGGCACGACAAAUCAAACGGGAAACAAGACACGGACCCGACUGGGACGGGAGGGAGCAGAAAGGAACACUAUGCACUGGAGGCAACUCUGACACAGCCAUGCCGCGUGGAGGAUGAAGGCCCUCUGGGUUGUAAACUUCUUUUAUAGGGGACGAAACCUGUGUAUUAUUACGCAGUUGACGGUACCCUAGGAAUAAGCACCGGCUAACUCCGUG
This 489-nucleotide ribosomal RNA is filed under the name uncultured bacterium. RNAcentral's name for it is "partial 16S ribosomal RNA". It matches the Rfam family "Bacterial small subunit ribosomal RNA", at positions 28 to 507 of the family's 1533-position model. The record is from RNAcentral.